GACGAACGCUGGCGGCGUGCUUAACACAUGCAAGUCGAACGGAAAGGCCCUGCUUUUGUGGGGUGCUCGAGUGGCGAACGGGUGAGUAACACGUGAGUAACCUGCCCUUGACUUUGGGAUAACUUCAGGAAACUGGGGCUAAUACCGGAUAGGAGCUCCUGCUGCAUGGUGGGGGUUGGAAAGUUUCGGCGGUUGGGGAUGGACUCGCGGCUUAUCAGCUUGUUGGUGGGGUAGUGGCUUACCAAGGCUUUGACGGGUAGCCGGCCUGAGAGGGUGACCGGCCACAUUGGGACUGAGAUACGGCCCAGACUCCUACGGGAGGCAGCAGUGGGGAAUAUUGCACAAUGGGCGGAAGCCUGACGCAGCAACGCCGCGUGCGGGAUGACGGCCUUCGGGUUGUAAACCGCUUCCGCCUGUGACGAAGCGUGAGUGACGGUAAUGGGUAAAGAAGCACCGGCUAACUACGUG
Molecule: ribosomal RNA, 468 nt
Filed under: uncultured bacterium
Lineage: Bacteria
Description: partial 16S ribosomal RNA
Rfam family: Bacterial small subunit ribosomal RNA
Source: RNAcentral